GUCGGGGGAAGCUCAUCAGCGGGGGGCCAUAUGCUGAGUGCUCCUCACUCCCCCAAGCCCCUGGAAAGAUCUGAGACUGGGGCCUCCAGCAGCACUAACUGGGCCCUCAUGGAGCAGGGAGGUGAGUUUCCAGAGAGCAGGGCUCCACGUGUGGGUAGACUUUCAAGCUUGUGGGAGCUUGAAACAGACUCACUGCAGGGCGGGGGGAGAAGGUGGGGUGCAGGCAGUAUUAGCAUACAAGAGAAGCUCGGUGGCUCUUACAGAGGAGGGAGGAUAUGGCAAGGGCCAUUUCCCUCAGUAACUCUCUUGCUAU
This 313-nucleotide RNase P RNA is filed under the name Neotoma lepida (desert woodrat). RNAcentral describes it as "Nuclear RNase P". It matches the Rfam family "Nuclear RNase P". Rfam says of the family: Ribonuclease P (RNase P) is a ubiquitous endoribonuclease, found in archaea, bacteria and eukarya as well as chloroplasts and mitochondria. Its best characterised activity is the generation of mature 5'-ends of tRNAs by cleaving the 5'-leader elements of precursor-tRNAs. The record is from Rfam by way of RNAcentral. Lineage: Eukaryota; Metazoa; Chordata; Mammalia; Rodentia; Cricetidae.